AACGUAGGAGCCAAGCGUUAUCCGAAUUCACUGGGCGUAAAGCGUGUGCAGGCGGUAUGAUAAGUUGGAUGUGAAAUCUCCUGGCUCAACUAGGAGAGGCCGUUCAAUACUGUCAAACUAGAGGGCAACAGAGGGAGGUGGAAUUCCCGGUGUAGUGGUGAAAUGCGUAGAUAUCGGGAGGAACACCAGUGGCGAAAGCGGCCUCCUGGGUUGUACCUGACGCUCAGACACGAAAGCUAGGGGAGCGAACGGG
RNAcentral lists this ribosomal RNA (253 nucleotides) under uncultured bacterium. Its description in RNAcentral is "partial 16S ribosomal RNA". It matches the Rfam family "Bacterial small subunit ribosomal RNA", at positions 524 to 776 of the family's 1533-position model. The record is from RNAcentral.